Pyrgilauda ruficollis (rufous-necked snowfinch) is the source of this 850-nucleotide long non-coding RNA. RefSeq lists it as uncharacterized. The record is from RefSeq and is a predicted model, not a curated record. The transcript has 3 exons. NCBI's taxonomy places the organism in Eukaryota, Metazoa, Chordata, Aves, Passeriformes, Passeridae.
UUCACAUUAUACUGAAAAAAUGACAUUUAUCAGCAUGGCUGGGUGUUAGGGAAGUCUAUUAAUGGAAGCAGUAUGCAACUGUACAGAGAUGGUAUUUAGCAACAAGCACAUAAAGCUUUUCUUCCAUUAAAAUGCUGCUUCGGGCAAGAAUGCAUUGCUUGAUUAGUUUUUUGGAGAGCAGUUUUUCAUUCAUAAUGAGAACACAUAUCUCAGCCACUGUUAUUAGUGAGAACAUGCUCUAAAAUGAAAAUAGAGAGAAGGCAAAGCCAGGAAGCUGUCAGGGCAACGUUAAACAGCAUCACAUCUUGACAAGGUGAGCUGUCAAGAGCAUUUUGGCACCAUAGGAAGCACGUGCUGUGCAAGAGUCACUGAUAACAGCAGAGCAGCCAUCCACAUAGCACUCAGGUUGGAUCACUCUUGGUGGUCUUGGUGCUUGCUCCUCCCCAGCAUUUCUCUACUCUCCUCGGCUUUCAGGAUGCCAUGGAUAGAAUUGCAUGUUGCAGGUUUCUGGGGGUUGGAUGCCUGGUUCUCAUCUGUUGACUGAAGAGCCUUGCCAGAAAAGCUAAAAGCAGGAAAUACUACUGGAUAACAUUCACAGAGUUUUGUAGGCAAAGAGAAUGAAGGCUCAUUCUCACCCUGUGGAAUUGCUGAAGAGUUUUCCAAAGCAGAUGAUACCAUUGCCAUCUUUUUCCAGAUCCUUUGCAAACUGUAGCUCUGCAAGUCUUAUUUGGCCCAGACCUCUUUGUUUCCAGUAUUUCUUCUUUCAAUCCCAUUCAUCCAUUAAAAAGCUCCAUUUGGCUGUGCAAGUCUUCCUCUGCUUGGCAAAUUAAAGCUACUUUGUCAAAGAUUA